AAGGCCUUAGCUUAAUUAAAGUGUCUGUUUUGCAUGCAGAAGAUGUGGGUUAGUAUCCCGCAGGCCUUA
RNAcentral lists this transfer RNA (69 nucleotides) under Amblyglyphidodon curacao (staghorn damselfish). RNAcentral's name for it is "tRNA-Ala". It matches the Rfam family "tRNA". Rfam says of the family: Transfer RNA (tRNA) molecules are approximately 80 nucleotides in length. Their secondary structure includes four short double-helical elements and three loops (D, anti-codon, and T loops). Lineage: Eukaryota; Metazoa; Chordata; Actinopteri; Pomacentridae. The record is from RNAcentral. RNAcentral also lists the same sequence under 1 other name.